Molecule: ribosomal RNA, 253 nt
Filed under: uncultured bacterium
Lineage: Bacteria
Description: partial 16S ribosomal RNA
Rfam family: Bacterial small subunit ribosomal RNA
Source: RNAcentral
GACGGAGGGUGCAAGCGUUGUUCGGAAUUACUGGGCGUAAAGGGCGCGUAGGCGGUUUGCUAAGUUCGGUGUGAAAGCCCCUGGCUCAACUGGGGAACGGCGCUGGAAACUGGCAGACUAGAGUACCGGAGAGGAGGGUGGAAUUCCUGGUGUAGCGGUGAAAUGCGUAGAUAUCAGGAGGAACACCGGUGGCGAAGGCGUCCCUCUGGACAUAUACUGACGCUGAGGCGCGAAAUCGUGGGGAUCAAACAGG